RNAcentral lists this non-coding RNA (117 nucleotides) under uncultured Catonella sp. Its description in RNAcentral is "FMN riboswitch (RFN element)". It matches the Rfam family "FMN riboswitch aptamer (RFN element)". Rfam says of the family: The RFN element is a highly conserved domain that is found frequently in the 5'-untranslated regions of prokaryotic mRNAs that encode for flavin mononucleotide (FMN) biosynthesis and transport proteins. This element is a metabolite-dependent riboswitch that directly binds FMN in the absence of proteins. Lineage: Bacteria; Bacillati; Bacillota; Clostridia; Lachnospirales; Lachnospiraceae. The record is from RNAcentral.
UUUCUUCAGGGCAGGGUGCAAUUCCCGAUCGGCGGUAAAGUCCGCGCGCUUUGGCAGAACCGGUGAGCAGUUUUUUGCAAUUCCGGUACCGACAGUAUAGUCUGGAUGAAAGAAGAA